Gasterosteus aculeatus aculeatus (three-spined stickleback) is the source of this 773-nucleotide long non-coding RNA. The record is from Ensembl. Lineage: Eukaryota; Metazoa; Chordata; Actinopteri; Perciformes; Gasterosteidae.
CAUGAAAAGGACAAAGAAGCAACACAGAGGGAGGCAUCGGGAGAGGCCCGCGGAUGGGAAGAUCUGACUUGUCACGCAGAUGGGGAAUUUUGCGUUUCCAUGACAACGACAGCCGUGGAGGAAAUGGAUUAGAUUCUCUGCACUGCUCUGGGGUGUGAUGGGGGGUUGCUGUCUGUGUAUGUGAUCCUCCACGUCCUGAAUGAGAUCCUCCGUCUUCCCCCUGCUCAUCCGGCAGCUCACAGGAAGGUGUGAGGGAGGAAAUGCAGCCCUGCUCUAUUUGCUUGCCCAAUAAUCCGAUGAGAAUGCAAAGAAAAUAUAUUUUUUUAGUUAGAGAUUUUUCUUUUAAGUGCAGUGUUUAAAUAUGUGACAUUCAGGGUGGGAUGUUGCCUCUUCUUCUUACUCAUGUCCAGGCUGUCUGACUAAUUUUGUUAUCACUCACAGACAGUCCAUUGUGAAGUUCCAGUCUGCUACUACUUUUUCCAUGCGUGUGUGUCACUGUAUUGUCCAUAUCUCUGUGUUUAAGAAUGUGCUUGAUUAAGCGAGAUGGCCGGUGUAAAGGGGGCCAUAAAAGAACAAUCUUACCAUUCUGCUGUGUCUCCCCUCCAGGGGAUGGCUGACAUAUGGGGACAGUGAGGACAGCAGGAGUCUCUGUGAGUCACGGGAUGAUAAACAUCAGCUGACAAAGUAGCUCUCGGGUUAUUGUAAAGCCUAAUAGUAUAUAUGUAGUGCCCAUGUGAACAAUUUCCUUGUUUCUUACCAUCUCAAAUAAAAGC